Molecule: ribosomal RNA, 253 nt
Filed under: uncultured bacterium
Lineage: Bacteria
Description: partial 16S ribosomal RNA
Rfam family: Bacterial small subunit ribosomal RNA
Source: RNAcentral
UACGGAGGGUGCGAGCGUUGUCCGGAAUCACUGGGCGUAAAGGGCGCGUAGGUGGCCGAGCAAGGUCGCGGUGAAAGCCCGGGGCUCAACCCCGGGUCGGCCGUGGCAACUACUGGGCUAGAGCACUGUAGGGGCGGGUGGAAUUCCGGGUGUAGCGGUGGAAUGCGUAGAUAUCUGGAGGAACACCGGUGGCGAAGGCGGCAUCCUGGACCAAUACUGACGCUGAGGAGCGAAAGCCAGGGGAGCAAACGGG